Molecule: ribosomal RNA, 303 nt
Filed under: uncultured bacterium
Lineage: Bacteria
Description: partial 16S ribosomal RNA
Rfam family: Bacterial small subunit ribosomal RNA
Source: RNAcentral
AGCAGUCGCCGCGGGAAUACGUAGGGUGCAAGCGUUAAUCGGAAUUACUGGGCGUAAAGCGUGCGCAGGCGGUUCGUUAAGACAGAUGUGAAAUCCCCGGGCUUAACCUGGGAACUGCAUUUGUGACUGGCGGGCUAGAGUAUGGCAGAGGGGGGUAGAAUUCCACGUGUAGCAGUGAAAUGCGUAGAGAUGUGGAGGAAUACCGAUGGCGAAGGCAGCCCCCUGGGCCAAUACUGACGCUCAUGCACGAAAGCGUGGGGAGCAAACAGGAUUAGAUACCCCCGUAGUCCCUGUCUCUUAUAC